RNAcentral lists this ribosomal RNA (252 nucleotides) under uncultured bacterium. RNAcentral's name for it is "partial 16S ribosomal RNA". It matches the Rfam family "Bacterial small subunit ribosomal RNA", at positions 524 to 776 of the family's 1533-position model. The record is from RNAcentral.
UACGUAGGGGGCUAGCGUUAUCCGGAAUUACUGGGCGUAAAGGGUGCGUAGGUGGUUUCUUAAGUCAGAGGUGAAAGGCUACGGCUCAACCGUAGUAAGUCUUUGAAACUGGGGAACUUGAGUGCAGAAGAGGAGAGUGGAAUUCCUAGUGUAGCGGUGAAAUGCGUAGAUAUUAGGAGGAACACCAGUUGCGAAGGCGGCUCUCUGGACUGUAACUGACACUGAGGCACGAAAGCGUGGGGAGCAAACAGG